Non-coding RNA from Malus domestica (apple), 755 nucleotides. Lineage: Eukaryota; Viridiplantae; Streptophyta; Magnoliopsida; Rosales; Rosaceae. The record is from RefSeq and is a predicted model, not a curated record.
UGUUCUUGUUGUUGAUGUUAACUUACCAUUUUGUAUGUAAAUUCUCCACUUUUUUUCAUGUUGUAAUUUUUAGGUUUGUUUUAUUUAAUGUUUUUAGUGUUUUCUAAUGUGGAUUGUUCUUGUUGUUGAUGUUGAUCAGCGGAGGAGUACUGCCACUCGGAUGCAGGGUGACAGUGAAGAUUACGAGUUGAAGCAAAUGAGGGAUAUGGCUGCUGCCAAAAAGAGAUGGGAAGCUCUGCAGGUAUGUCAGAAAAACCUUUUCUGGGUUCAAGGAGGUAGAGGCUGCUGAAGAAGAGUGAGUCUCAUCUUAUGUGGGAGCAGGAUCUUGCCAGAGAAGGCCCUCUGCCAUUUAAGUUUGCUGGAAUUGGUGGGCUUUUAGAAUUCCUUGGAUUUAUCAGAAAGUACAUUUAUUUCUGCCCUGCUGCAGCUGCCAAAGAAGGUUGGAGUUACCGAUUAGUGUUCUCUGCCCGGCUGGUCAGAGUCAUUCUCCUUGCCGAUACCUUGUUUCUUGGUGCUCAGCAAUUUGGACAUUAUCUUCAGGAUACAAGGUCACUCUGAGGUUAAACACUUGUGCUUGAAGUACUUGAUUGUAUAUCAAGAUACAACAUUUUGCAGUACUGGUUCACCAGAAAUAAUAGAUUUUCCAAGGAUAACAAUUUUGGAAGCCACAGUGCCUCAGAAAGAAGCUUACACCAAUCAGGGUAAAGGAGGGGAAAACGGGAAGGAAAAUCAUGUCUCAUAGAGAAAAAAGGCAA